GAUGUACUCCCUCCGUCCAGAAUUACUUGUCGCCAAAAUGGAUAGAAAUGGAUGUAUCUAGAACUAAUAUACGUCUAGAUACAUCUAUUUCUAAGACAAGUAAUUCCGGACGAAGGGAGUAUUUG
Triticum aestivum (bread wheat) is the source of this 125-nucleotide non-coding RNA. NCBI's taxonomy places the organism in Eukaryota, Viridiplantae, Streptophyta, Magnoliopsida, Poales, Poaceae. The record is from Rfam.